Long non-coding RNA from Lagopus muta (rock ptarmigan), 3174 nucleotides. RefSeq lists it as uncharacterized. Lineage: Eukaryota; Metazoa; Chordata; Aves; Galliformes; Phasianidae. The record is from RefSeq and is a predicted model, not a curated record. The transcript is spliced from 5 exons.
AUGGCUGUGAUGGAGGAGAGCAGGCAGAGGUGGUGCUCCAGAGGAGCACAAGCAGGGUGUGUGUGGAUGUGUCCCUAGAAAAUGGAAACCAUGAGACAAACUUUGCUGCUUCUUCACUGUACUGUUGUGCAUCGCUGCAGUGAGACUUCCUUAUGGUCUCCAGACCUACAACUGGACUCUGAAUCUUCAUCCCACUGAUGUUUAUGAGAGCCCAGUCUCCUCAAUCUGUUUUGCACGUGGAACAAUGUACCCUUUGACAUAUGGAAUGAUGUGCGAAUAGCUCUUGGAAAAAGAGAGGAUGAAUGAAGUCAGGCUGUGAAGGACCGCAUCCAGCAGCACUGAGGCUUGCUAUGAAAAAUCAGAAGACUCGAGAUAGAAAUGGUGAGAGCCAGCACUACCAUCCCCAUGAAGUCCUGUACUCCUUCGGAGGAGUUGUCUGCUAAGCUCAAGUAUCAUGUAGCAAUGGAGGAAUGCAGAAAACAUGACUGUGUGCAGUGCUGUGGUGAGAAACUGCCCCACGUUCAUUGGAUCCCAUCAUGUGCUACAGGAGUGAGAAGCCUCAGCAGAUGGUGGUGAUGUAACUUUCUGGAGGUAAAGGCUGCAAGAAACGACCACUUCAUACAUCAAUUUGAUUCACUGAUUACUCACAAAACACUACGUAUAGGCAAGGAAAAGAAUACAAAACAAAAUUGUAUGGACAUCUUGAUGACAGAGUGUUCUGGUUUGCACCAGGAAACGCUGAGAACAACCCAGUACUCUGUAAAGUUUGUCGUAAGCAUGUAAAAAUAUAUGAAUGCCAAUGGAAAUUAUUGACCAAACAAUCUCCUUUUUGGUGCAAAAUAUGGUUUAUCAAUACUUGUACUGACCUGCUUGAAAUACUCCAGGCAGAAUGGGAAAAACAGGCAGAACUCCGAACAAUUUAAAGCGUAUUUAGAACUGGCUGGAAACCAGAAGUCAUCCUGCAGUUUUAUUUACAGAAAAAGCAGUCUGUUUCUUCAGGGAUUCGAUUGGUUUAAGGCCAGGAAGGACCAUGAGAACAUCUACUUUGAUGUUUUGUUUAAUGAAAGGCCAGCUACCCCCUAUACUUUGUCUGAAGAUGUAUGUAUAGUUCUUUUUUUCUUUAAGAAAAGUAACCUGCGUUUAGUUUUGUCAUCUUAUCUGCUUAAAAUUGCAGAAUCAACCAUUCCCUCAAUAGAUCGUGCAAGCAGUUAAUAUCUUUUUCUAUUAAAUUGCAUUCAUAAUUGCUCACUUACAAUUGUUUGGCUUCUCAUUUAGGACCUUGGUGCAAGUUCUGCUUUGCUUCACUUGAUGAACGGUCCUUUUGAUACCCACUGCUUUCUUUUGCAUGCACAGACCGGUAUUAAAUCACCUUUCCAUUGUUUUGCUGCUUAAUUAAACGGAUUAAACUCCGCAAAUAAUAUAUAAGAUAUUUUACUGAAUGGUUUCAAACUUUACCCACACAAAUCUUCAGCAGCCUUAAGAAAUGCAGGCGAUAAAACACAACAGGUGCUGUGUGCUGAGAUAAAAUCUCCCCCUGGUUCUAUUCUUUUCAUGGACUGAAGGAUCAAAUUUGAUUUAGGGAAAGAAAAAUUAAAAAAAGAAAAAAAAAAAAAAAAAAAAAAACUUCAGUUUAUUCAGGAGCUUAAUUCUGUCUUGACUCACAGCUUUCCAUGUAGUCCUCCUUGCAGCCCUAAGUUCCUCUCUGGCAGCUCUGAAGCUGUUUGCCUGCACUAAACAGCUCUGUAAGUGCCCAGAACCCCCUGGUAACACAUGUUGCUCUCCAUGAUUAACUUCUUACCUUCUGCUGUUGACUCCUGCGUGUUCAGAUCCCAAUCUGAGCAGUGCAUGGCACACCAUGGCCUCGUGCUACAAGCAGUGUUCCUUCAGCAGAUGCUUCACAUCAUCAUGCAAUCAGCAUGCAGUGUUCUGACUCACCAAACUCCACCUGCGUUGUAUCUUUCCUGUUAUCUUCAUCCACCAAACUCGUAAUCUCAUCAAAGAAUGAAAUUAGAUUUAUAUGAUAGGCCUGUUUUCCAUAAACUGUGAUUACUGGUGUUAAUUAUAUUGCUAUACUUUAUUAUUUUAAUUAAUUGCUUUUAUUAGUUGAAGUUUGUAUCAGCUUUGCAUUGCUUUGCUCAACACUGUGCUGGCCAGCUGGCUCACAGUUACCUUUAUCAUCUCUGUUCUACUUCUGACUCUUGGCUCUAUUUUAGCAGUCAUUCAGUGCUUUGGAUACCCUUGUUUUGGUGCAUUCAUUGCAAGCUAACUUCAGCAUCUGGAUCUCUGAGCUCAGCUCCUUGACAUCACUUGUUCUGACAUCACUUGCAUUGUUCCACGAGCUUCUGCUUCAGCGCCAGCACUUUGCUGUGAAGGACUGGAGGACUCCUCCAUCACAGCAGUGUUUCCCUCGGGAAUUCCUUUGCAUCAGGGCUGUGUUUGUGUUAAAUUGGCAGAAAUUCUCACCUUCUGGCUUCACUGUUGUGAUUGUUUUAUUUCUACUUCUUAUGUAUGGAUAAAAUCUGAUUCAGCCUCCCGAUCAUCUUAGUGAUCCUCCUCUGGACCCGCUCUAAGAGCUCCAUGUCCUUCCUGAACUGGAGUCAGGGCUUUUGGAACUUGAUCCUUGAGGUCCCUUCCACCCAGAGACAUUCUGUGAUGGGAGCAACCUGCCAUCCAAAGUAUCAGGACAGUGGUAUCCAUAUCCAGCACGUCAGCAAUGCCCACCUCCAGAAGUCUCUCUCCUGUAUAGAUUUGAGUAGUGCUGCCAUAGCCAGCAGAUUGCUGGGAUCUGCCACAUAUGCAGCUUGGGGUAGUGUUACUCCACAGUGUUGACCACGUUGGCCUAAAAGUGAACCAAUUUCUUUAUAAAUCGUUGGAUGUUUUGAUGGAGUGAUCUCAGUACAACGCAUACUCUGGUUUAUAUGACUAAGGGAAGAAGAAAAGCAUGAAGAAAAAGCACUGUUUGGAUCCACCUCCCAGACAUAAUGGAAAAGAAAUGAAAUACAAAAAUGUACAGAUUGUACCACAGAUCUAUGUCUUGGAAAUGCAGAUGACAUAGUGGUAGAUUUGUGAAUGUGAUCUGAAUCGUUCCUGUGGGUGAGGAGUGCUGCUAGCAAGGCAAGAAAUUAGGUCCAGGUCUAAAAAUCCCCACCUUGGGAAUAAGAAGCAGUGGGUGGA